GGGGUGUUAGCUCAGCUGGGAGAGCACCUGCCUUGCACGCAGGGGGUCAGGAGUUCGAUUCUCCUACGCUCCACCA
RNAcentral lists this transfer RNA (76 nucleotides) under Bacillota bacterium. RNAcentral's name for it is "tRNA-Ala". It matches the Rfam family "tRNA". From Rfam's summary of the family: Transfer RNA (tRNA) molecules are approximately 80 nucleotides in length. Lineage: Bacteria; Bacillati; Bacillota. The record is from RNAcentral.